AGAGUUUGAUCCUGGCUCAGGAUGAACGCUGGCGGCGUGCUUAACACAUGCAAGUCGAACGGACUCGUAUUGAAACCUAGUGAUAUAUGAGUUAGUGGCGGACGGGUGAGUAACGCGUGGAUAACCUGCCGUAUACAGGGGGAUAACACUUAGAAAUAGGUGCUAAUACCGCAUAAGCGCACAGCUUUGCAUGAAGCAGUGUGAAAAGCAAAAAGUUAAACUUUUAGCGGUAUACGAUGGAUCCGCGUCUGAUUAGCCAGUUGGCGGGGUAACGGCCCACCAAAGCGACGAUCAGUAGCCGGCCUGAGAGGGCGGACGGCCACAUUGGGACUGAGACACGGCCCAGACUCCUACGGGAGGCAGCAGUGGGGAAUAUUGCACAAUGGGGGAAACCCUGAUGCAUCGACGCCGCGUGAGUGAAGAAGUAAUUCGUUACGUAAAGCUCUAUCAGCAGGGAAGAAAAUGACGGUACCUGAGUAAGAAGCCCCGGCUAACUACGUG
RNAcentral lists this ribosomal RNA (501 nucleotides) under uncultured Lachnospiraceae bacterium. Its description in RNAcentral is "bacterial SSU rRNA". It matches the Rfam family "Bacterial small subunit ribosomal RNA", at positions 8 to 507 of the family's 1533-position model. The record is from RNAcentral. Lineage: Bacteria; Bacillati; Bacillota; Clostridia; Lachnospirales; Lachnospiraceae.